RNAcentral lists this ribosomal RNA (123 nucleotides) under Nitrospiraceae bacterium. The record is from RNAcentral. Lineage: Bacteria; Pseudomonadati; Nitrospirota; Nitrospiria; Nitrospirales; Nitrospiraceae. RNAcentral also lists the same sequence under 2 other names.
CACAUCGGCCAUAGCGGCGGGGCAACUCCUGUACCCAUUCCGAACACAGAAGAUAAGCCCGCCCGCGUUUGUGGCGUGUACUGUGGUGCGAGAGCCCAUGGGAAUCCACAAACGCUGAUGUGC